RNAcentral lists this long non-coding RNA (222 nucleotides) under Capsicum annuum. RNAcentral describes it as "long non-coding RNA (CANN_LNC008796)". The record is from RNAcentral. Lineage: Eukaryota; Viridiplantae; Streptophyta; Magnoliopsida; Solanales; Solanaceae.
UAUUUCUCGCAUUAGCUCGAGUGCCUCUUCUAUUUCCUACGUAUUUGUAUGAAUUUUUCUUAAAGGAAAUGAGCUUAAAGGAAGGUGUACCUGAGACGAGGAGGCUAUGUUGUUUGGUAUGUUGGUGUCCUUAGUCUCCAUUGACCCUAUCAUUCCCAUUACUUAGUGGAAGGGACCCACUUCUAGAGUCAUGCUUUGUACCUGCUAGUGGUGAUAAAAGGG